This 7070-nucleotide long non-coding RNA is filed under the name Manihot esculenta (cassava). RNAcentral's name for it is "long non-coding RNA (MESC_LNC005772)". Lineage: Eukaryota; Viridiplantae; Streptophyta; Magnoliopsida; Malpighiales; Euphorbiaceae. The record is from RNAcentral.
CAUUUUCAAUGAAGGGGAGAAAAGAAAAAGGGCAGAUUUCUCAAUCCAGUCUCAUGCCAGGAUCAAAUGCAUUCACAGUGAAUCCUCCAUCAACAGAAAUAAUCUGUCCAGUAAUGUAUGAAGCAGCAGGUAAGCAGAGGAAUGCAACCAGGGAUGAUACUUCUUUUGGUUCUCCAACGCGUUGAAGAGGCGUUCGAGCGACUAUUUUAUCCGAGAAAUCUUUGUUAGCAAGCAACUGCAAGGAGAAAAGAAAUUCACAUGAUAAGAAGAGGAGCUGUUACAAGUACCAUUGAUGAAUUUUAAUAGUGAUUUCUUCUCAGAUUCCAGUUAAUAUGCAGCAUUUUAGAGGUGACAGACAUAAUAAUCCACUCAUCUAUGCACAAGGAGAACUUUGUGAAAGGAAGUGCUAGGUUUGAAAUUUGCCGAGACUCUAGCUGUUUGGCCGAACAACAUUAUAGUCAAGAUUAAUGGUGAUCUUGGAAACAAACUUUUAAGGACACAUGUCAGUAACAGAUUACAGGAGUAGCAUUGCAAUUUGAUUGAACUGUUUCAGGGUCAAGGGAACAGAAACCUUUCAAAAUAAUGAAUAAUAUCAUAUAUCAUGCUUAUAAUGCAGGCAUAUACGCAUCUUUUAUAGUUUAACAUGUCUGUGAAAAAAUGUCCCUUGAGAUCCAACAAGAAUCCAGAAAUCCACUUCAUGUUUACAGCUUUUCCAUGUUCAAAACAGUUCUAAGAGCAAAUCCCAAGAAAGCUGAAUGAUUGAUUCAACUAACUGUAUAAUGAAUUAUUGGCUGCUUUAAAGAAAUAAUACCUUCACUCAUAAAUGAGAAUGGAAUGCUGAUAUUUUAAAAUGGAUGAUCAUUUGCCAGAAAAAAGGGAAAAAAAGGAAUGUUCUAUGAGCAGGAUAGAGAAUAGUACAUUUUCCACAUGCGAGGUUCUGAUAUACCAGGGUGCAACAGAAUUUGUCCUGAUAUUGUCUUUUGCCCACUCACAAGCCAAAUUUUUUGUAAGUUGAUUGAUUGCACCUGCGAGCAGCAAAUUUGAUAAUGUUUUUUAGUAGAUUAAUUACACUCAAAUUUUUUACUCAUGCUCAGGCAAUAAAUAUACUAGUUUAGAACAGCAACUCACCUUUACUUGGACCAUAAAUUGAUCCAUUACCUAUGUGCACAAGACCUGCAACAGAGGAAUUGAAUACAAUGCUUCCAGCUCCUGAUGCUUUUAGAAGAGGAUGUGCAAGUUGGCACAUAUGGUAUGCAGAUUCAAAAUUAGUUGCCAUGAGUUUUGAAAAUUCUUCAGCAGAGUACUCCAUAGUUGGCUUCCUGAUAUUUGUGCCAACAUUAUUUACCUGAAUGAAAGAGAUCAAGCAUGUUAAACUCCCUGAAUAUCCAUAGAUAAGAAUAACACUCAUUAAGUGAUGCUCAUCCUAAUAAGCGCACGACAUUACCUACUCCUUACAAAAUUCUAAAGAUAUUCAAGAUUACAUCUAAAGAACACAUGCACAUGUGCAUGCAGAGAUAUGAUAUGAGAUCAAUUGCCUUCAUUGAAAAGCCAACGUUGCACCAUUCCUGACAUAAAAGUGCCCGGAAUAUUGUUGCAUUGUGACACAAUUACGGGCUUAAGCAUCAUUCUUUCAUUAGAACACAAGUAACCGUUCUUUGAAGCCAAGCAAAAUGAUCCUCAAUCUCUUGAGAAGAGUUUCCUGUUAGCGUAAAGUGCAGAAUAAUGAUUCAAGUAAGUGAAUUGAUGCUAAUCUUUCCUGGAGAAAUUUACACGAAGACGAAAAAAACAAUCAUCUUAGAUUUCUCAAUUUAUGUUCCUCAUAAGACUGGAACCUAGGGCAAGAAAAAGUAGAAAUAUAUUAAAAAAAUUUUAGCAUAGUUGUACUUAAUAAAUCUUGUUUUUGAUAUAAUUUCAAUCCACUGGGUAAACGGAAGGGGGGAUUUUUUUCUUUUCCCCUGCAUUUUAACUUCAUCAUGGAAGUCUGAAAAAAUAGUUUGAGAAAUACCAGCAAUAGAAGCAAGCAUUUCAUAAUAUAGAACAAUUUUAUUAUUCAAUUUGAAGAUCUAACACCAUUUGCGGGUUGAGAGAUUUUGACAAUCUUGAUCAAACCCCAGCAAAACAAAUCAAUUCAAGAAGAAACCCAAGUUUAAAGUGGAACCAGGGAGAUUAUACCUAAACAAGCAGCAUAAACAAUCUAAUUUGCAAUUGCAUAAGUUAGCUCAUGUAUAUAUAUCGGUAUGCAAGUAUUGCAAUCAAGGUUGGAGACACAGUAAGCAAAACAACAACAUCAUUGCUGAGGAAACAUACAAAAUCAUGAUAUGUAAGAAUACUGAUAAUAUCCAAUAGCUGAGGCUGUCACUGGAUUACUCACAAGAAUGUUGAGACUGCCAUUAAAAACAGAACCCACUUGCUCAAUUAGCUUCUCUCUCUGGGCUCGAGAUGUCGCAUCACAAACUGACCCAGUGACCACAAAACCCUUGGCUUCCCAUUCUUUCAAACACUUAUUAAGCUCUGCUUCAUUUCUUGAACAUGUGUGCACUCUAGCUCCAAGCCCAGCAAGCUCCUCCACCGUUGCAUUUCUAUAAAACCCCACAAUCAGAGAUUUAAAAAAGCAGUGAUUUCAUUAUAAAUUGUCCACAUAAAGAAAAGGGAUAGAGAGAGAGAAACCCAAUUCCCCGAGUGCCACCAGUGACAAGAGCAGUCAUUCCAUGAAGAGACCAUCUUGGCUCCUUGAAACUGCUCUCUGCCUUUGACAUGAUUCUGUUCUGUGUGUUGCCGAGAAGAUGCAAACUGAAGGAUUCUGUUCUGUGUGUUGCCAAGAAGAUGCAAACUGAAGACUGAAGAUACUUUCCGAAAUUGGAAACCUGUCAAUUACGGAAAAUGGAAAAUAUUUUUCUUCCUCAAACGUAAAAUACAGUAAUUUUUGUUACUUUCAGUAAAGGAUGUCAUUUGAAAAUUUAUUAUUAUCUAUUUUACAGAAAAUUUUGUUUUCAUAAUUUUAAUAAAUUUAUUCAUUAAUUUAUUCAUUAAUAUAAAAAUAUUUUAUUUUCUCUAUUUUUAAGUGAAAAAAUAAACUAAAAAAAUAUAUUUUUUUCUCAAAUUCUAAAUAAAUAAUUGUACAGAACAUAAAAUUCUCCAUUUUCUCGACAUGACAGUUCAAUGAAAUAAAUCUAAUGGCUGAUGUGAUGCCGUGUCCCCUCUCUUGAAUUAUUAUUUUAAUAGUUACUACGUCACUUUGAUGUUAAAAAAUUCAAUAGUCGAUUUUUAUAUAUUUUUAAAAUUUAAAUUAUUUUCAUAUUUAUCAAAAAAAUGUUAGAUGUCAUUUUAAUUAUAUAUAUUAUUUAUUUAAUAUAAUUUUAAAUAUUUACAAUUUUAUACCAUUUAGUUUUUUUAUAAAAAUUAAAAUAAAUUGACUAAAUAUUUUUCUAAUAGAAAGAAUAAUAAUUUAAUUUUUUUAUAAAUAUAGAGUGAGUGAUUUUGAAAUAAAAAUAAAUUAAUAAUUUUUUUAAAAAUUUAAAAACUUAUUAAUAACUUUUCUAAUAAAUAAUUAAAUACAGCAUAAAAUUCUCCAUUACCUUGAAACGACAUUCACUAAAAUAAAUCUAAUUUUUAAUGUAAUGAGACGCUUCUCUUUUAAAUUAUUAUUUUAGUUAUAAUUAAUGAGUUUUAGUUUAUUAAUAUUAAAGUCUUUUCAAAAUUAAAAGAUUUUAAAUUUAAAUUCUAAUUAAGAUUAAUUAUAUUAAAAAAAUUAUUUUGAUUAUAUUUAUAUAUGUUUGACGAAUUUAAUACUGAUUAUGUGAACAUAUUUAACGCUAUGAAGUUGGUUGUGAAGUAGGGUUGUAGAUAAUAAUUCGAGAUUUAAAAGGUUUAAAUUUAAUUUAUUUUUUAAAUUGGAUUCGAAUUUAAAUUUUAGUCAAAUAUUAAUAAAAUUAAGUUUAAUUCAUUUAAUUUGUAAAUUUCAGUAAAAUAUUAAUAAUAUUAAAUUUAACUCGUUUAAUUUUUAAAUUUCAGUUGAGUAUUAAUAAAAUUAAAUUUAACUCAUUUAAUAAAUUAAUUUAGACGAGUUAAACUUUUUAUUGAAUUUAAUUUUAAAUAGUUUACAUAUAAUUUAAUUUAUUUAUAUAUAUAAUAAGUUUUAUUUAAAAUUAAUAAAUUUAAAAUUAAAUAAUUUUAAUUAAAUAAAUAUAUAUAUAAAAAUUAGCUCAUAAAUUUAUAAAAAUAAAUUAUUAAAUUUUAAUCAUUUAAAUAUAUAUAAAUUUUAAAAGUGUAAUUAAAUUAUAUAAAAUUAAACUAUAAAAAAUUUAAGUGAAAAUAUAUGUAAGCCUUGAAUUUAUUUCUCUUAUAAUAUUAACAUCAAUAUGCUUAAUCAGACUGUUUAUUCAUAAACUCAAAAAUAAACUGAGUUUACAAAAUUUCGACUCGAAAUUUUACAAGUCGAAUACUUAUACAACUCAAAUUUGACUGGUUUACUAAACGAAUUUAAAAAUUAAAUUCGAGUUUGAUUUAUUUAAAAAUCGAAUCGAAUAGCUCAUAAGUUUAAUUAGUGAUUUUUCUUCUAUUCAUCUACAUGUUUUGAGAAAAAAUAAGAAAUGUUAUUUUAUACUUAUUUAAUAAAUUAAGAAUCGUAACUUUUACUAUUUAAACAUUAAUUAUAAUAUCUAUUUUAACAGAGUUAAAAGUGAAUUAUUAACUCAAUUAAUUAAAAAUAACAAAAUUAAAAAUGAUAAAAUAAAUUUAAUUUAUGAGUAUAUUUUGUAUAUUAUGUAAUGAAUCUAUCCAUUUUAGAUUUAUUAAAUAAAUUAUUAACUUUUAAUUUAGUUAAAAUGAAUAUAAUAAAUAUAAUUAAUUUUUUAAAGUAAAAAAAUUAUAAUUUUUAAAUUACUAGAAUUAAUGUUAUCACACUAUUUAUGAUUUAUAAUUACAUAAAAAAUUACUUAUAAGUUAUAAUUAUACAAAAAAUUAUUUAUGAUAUAUAACUACGACAAAAAAUUAUUGUUGAUGUAAAAAUAUUAAAAAAUAAAUUAUCAAAUUUUAAAAAUAUAUUGUUUAAAAUUAUAAAUAAAUUAAAUCAAAAUUAAAAAUUAAAUAAAAUUGAAAUACUGAUUUAAGGUAUAUUUAUUAAAAAAAAUUAUAAUAUAAUUAUUGUAAUUGAUAAAAUUUUAAAUUUUUUAAUAAUUAUUAAUUAUAUUAAAAUAUUAAUUUUUUACUUACUAUUAACCGGUAAAAUAUAAAUAAAUUUAUAUAAUUAGUUAAGAAUAUAUUAAUUAAUUUUUAUAAUUUAAAAUAUAUUUAAUAAAAUAUAAAUAGUUUAGAAUUUUUUAUUAUUAUCUCAUAAUUUAUUAAUAUAUAUUUAAAUUUAUAUUAACAUAAAAAUUUAUAAUUAAUAAAUAUUAAAAAAAUAAUACAGUGAAAGUAAAAAAUCUCAUUGAUUAUGAGCCGACAAAAAGAAAUUUUAAAAAGUAGAAUUAAUAAAAAAUACUAACUGAUAUAAACAUCUAAAUUGACUGUUUGAAACUGAUAAGCUAUCGACCGAAAAUGAAAAAGUUUAUUCAAACACCUUCUAAGGACUAAUUUCUGUUAUCACGAAGAAUCCAUAUGGGACCUCAACUAACAUAUCAAAGGUUUUUAACCAAUUAAUGACUUCCACGCCCUUUUAAAAUAACUUAUUUAUUGAAAAGUUAAUUUUUUCAAAAAUACACUUUCUACAAGUUAUUUUUUAACAAAUAUGAUUUAGAUGUGUUCGAUUAAUAUAUUCUCAUGAGAUAAGGUGUGUUUAUUGCGUUAGAUAAAUAUAGUAAUAUUUAUUUUCCAUUUGCUAUUAUAAAAUUUUAAUUUUAAAUUUUUUUCUUAUUAGAUAUUAUUGAAUAUUAUUAUUUAAAAUCUCAAAUUAUUUUUUUAAAAAAAUAUUUAGAUCUUAAACUUAUUUUAAUAAUUAUUUGUAGAAAUGUAUAAAAUGUUAUAGUAAAAAAAAUUAUUAAUUUUAUAAUAUUUAUUAAAUAAUAUGCCCAUUAAACAUCAACCAUGGUUCAAGAUUGAACCUAAAACCCUUAAUUGGGUUUAAUUCUAUGAUCUCGCCGGUUCAAGGUUCGGUUUAAAAACAUUGCUUCAAACAAAACACCAUGUCCUCAGAACUAAAUAUGAACAAUAUGUUAUGAACCAGAACAAUUCAAGACAUUGGACAAAUGUGCAUUUUCAACGAAGGGGAGAAAAGAAAAAGGGCAGAUUGCUCAAUCCAGUCUCAUGCCAGGAUCAAAUGCAUUCACAGUGACUCCUCCAUCAACAGAAAUAAUCUGUCCAGUAAUGUAUGAAGCAGCAGGUAGGCAGAGGAAUGCAACCAGGGAUGAUACUUCUUUUGCUUCUCCAACGCGUUGAAGAGGCGUUCGAGCAACUAUUUUAUCCAAGAACUCUUUGUUAGCAAGCAACUGCAAGAAGAAAAAAGUUCACAUGGUAAGAAGAGGAGCUGUUACAAGUACCAUUGAUGAAUUUUAGUAUUGAUUUCUUCUCAGUUUCAGUUAAUAUGCAGCAUUUUAGAGAUUCCAGACAUAAUAACCCACACUUCUAUGCACAAGGAGAAUUUGGUGAGAGAGUGCUAGGCUUGAAACUCGCCGAGACUCCAGCCGUUUGGCGGAACGACAUUAUAGUGAAGACUAAUGGAGACCUUGGAACAAAAACUUCUAAGUACACAUGUCCAUAAACAGAUUACAGCAGUAUCAUUGCAAUUUGAUUGAACUGUUAUAGGGUCGAGGGCACAGAAAACUUUCAAAAUAAUGAAUAAUAUCAUAUAUCAUGCUUAUAAUGCAGGCAUAUACACAUCUUUUAUAGUAUAACAUGUCUCCUGAAAAAAUAUCCCUCGAGAUCCAACAAGAAUCCAGAAAUCCACUUGAUGUCUAUAGCUUUUCCAUGUUUAAAACAGUUCUAAGAACAAAUCCCAACAAAGCUUAAUGAUUGAUUCAACUAACUGUAUAAUUAAGUAUCAGCCACUUUAAAGAAAUAAUACAUUUACUCGUAAAUGAGAAUGACAUGCCUAUAUUUUUAAACGAAGGAUUAUUUGCCAAACAAAAAGGAAAAAA